GCCGAUUUUGGAAAACACGCGUGCACGGUGUGUACUGAAAAAUGCUUUUUAGUAACAUACAAUAAAUCCAGUCAUCAAUCACGGUAAUGUAUGCUAUAAUAUGUUUUUCGGAUAUAUACAGUAGAUGUAAAUCGCGAUAUCGACUUUGCCGGCGAUAUCAAGUUUUACGUGUCUAAUAACCGUUUGAUAUUUGUUGUGUAGUAUUUUAUUCUUUCGCAUGUAGUAAGAGCAUUUCUGGGACUAUUUAUUUUCUAAGAGAUUAAUCUGUCUUUAGCACACCAUUAAUAUCUGAAAUAUAGCCGGUAACUGGCCUUUUGAAGCUCUUCGGAUCGAAAGAAACGAAAAUUCUCACGAUGAGCGCGAUUUUACAGACUGGUGCCUAGUUUUGUACUACGCGCGCAAAGCUUCCCGGGAUAGCGUCAUUUAUUCACACCGCCAUUACGCCAAAUUUUUCAAGCCUUCAUUCUGAAUUUAUGGGUUCGAAAAAUUCGCUUUUUUAAGCAACGACGAAUGAUUUGAACGAAGAGGAAACAGCGGGCAUGACUGAAUAACAUUCAGGUAAGCAUAUUGUUAUGUUAUAUGUAUAAUGGAGCAGUUUUGAAAGUAAAUAUUCGCUAUCUUCAUUCAUGAAUUUUGAGCAUGUGUUCAUGUUUAAAAUUUGAAUUUGCCGCGACAAUAUUUGAAUUAAAAAGAUGAUAUAUUAGUUUUAUAGAAGGCUUACAUUUGACUUUAUAUUAAAUUAUGUUUAUUGUAUAAAGGGCAACUAAUAUUUGUGUAUAUGAAUAUAUGACAGACUACCAGAUAACAAUAUUUCUGGUAUAAAGUAUAAAUAUAGCUUGGCAUCUACUCAGUCAUUAUAUGCUCAACUACACAUGUCCCAGCUAAACAUGGUUUGAGAAAAUGUAACCACUUGUUUCAUAAUAAGUCCAGUAGCCCACUAUGUUAUUUAACCGAUUAAGCUGCGGAGCUUCCCCAUUGACAAGCAAAAUUGUCUGGCAUAAGACAAGUAAAAAAAUAAGUAAGGCACACUGGGGCGCAUUGCGGCUUGAUGGGUUUACCAGAGACAUUGUCAAAUUUUUUGGUCAACCCAUUAAGCUGCAGAGUUUCCCCAUUGACGAGUAAAAUCGUUUGGCGUUAGACAAGUGAAAAAAAAGUAGAGCGCACUGGGGCGCAUUGUGGCUCAAUGGGUUAAUAUAUCAGAGAACAAUAUUUAAAAACAUUGUCUUUAUAGCUUAAGUCAACGACAAAACGUCGUUAAUUAAUCAAAGUGCAUUAUUACUAUGUGUUUAUUUUCCUGUUUAUGACUGACUUGUUUAUUAUACUAACACAAAAGAUUGAAUGUCCAUGUAUAAGCUCUAUCCCUCCUAUAUACUGUAACCCCCCCCUUUGUAUAAGCCCACCAAAUAUAUAGCCCAGGGUUUAUAGUCCGAGAUUUACGGUAUUCCAUGAACCCAUUAAGAUGUGAUGUUGUGAUGGAUUAACAGACUGUGUGUGCAUGUCUCAGUUACCAUUAGCACUUACAUACCCUAAUUUAACCCAUUAAGCUGCAGAGCUUCCCCGCGUUUUCCCCGUUUCCUAGGAUACGAGGCCUCAUCACGAUUUAUGAAUAAGGUCUAUAGUACUCUGAUUUUCCAUUUAACAUACGAGCCUCUAGUCCUGGGAUAGGGUACAUUUUGAUUUACGUUGGUCAAAGUUACAGUUCGGUCGGGCAGAAAUACACUCAGGUCGGACAAACAAUAAACCUCAAUUUCACUUUGGUCGGACAGAAUGUCUGGUGGUUUCCUCUCUACGUCGGACAAUUUCACUAAUGGGUCGGACAAUGUCCAUGACCGACCGAUAUUUUAAGGCCUGCAUAGCCGGAUUAACCCUAACCCGUAGCUAAAAUUUAUGUAUUUCUACAUACAGUAUCUUUUUGUUUUAAAAUUAUGAAAAGAAAACUCCUAUGGUACUGAUCCAGACAAGAUGUCUAAAGAAAUAUUUCCAAAUUUAUAAACAAACUGUUAGGAAGUUUGCUUAAUCUAAGGUUAACUUAUCGGCUUUCGAACAAUCAACCCCUGCAUGGUGAUUUUGUUUGUCAAUGGGAGUGUGUUGGACUUAAAAGGUUUUAACCUUUCAUUGAAACUAGAUUGUCUGCCCGCAUUUUGUGUUAACACAUUAUUAAGAUAAAAGCCAGACUACUUUCAGUACUUCAUGAUUUCACUAUGUCUAACAUCAGAGGGUCACAUUUCAUAUUUAACCCUUUUAGAUGCAAAGGACAUUUUAGUCAUCCAGAGGGGGAGGGAGUCUAAGAGUAGAAUCUUCUGAGACUGAUAAUAGUAAGAUGUACUAAGACAUCAAUGGAAUGGGGUGGGGGGUUAAAUUCCAAGUUUCUUUGUAUGUCAUGCUUGAAGUUUUCAAGGAUGGAUAGAUCGGCUUAGAUAAAAAUGUCAAUUUGAUGUUUUGUGUGGCAACUUGAAUAUGGACAUCUCCCUAAUUGGAAACAGUUAAAGUCCUUAGUUUGUUUGUUUGUUCAAACUCAUGAAUACAUUUAGCUAGCUACACCACCCACAUGAUCUGCUUAGUAAUAUAUGUAACAACCCAAUUCACUCCAAUUAACCCAGUUUUCAGCACUUUCUUAAAUUAUGUCACCUUUCCUAAUGCCGGACAAGUUAAUUUGUGUGUAGCUAGAUUUUGCCCAUGUUUCAUGUUGACAUAUUUAGAUGCAAUUUUCCCUAACACUCCCUACUUUAAGUACUUUAAUAUUGAACUGUGACGUCUCAUGCUAGACAAUUUUACUUAUCGACUGCAUGGACUCAUUUCACCUAUUAACACCGAAGAAACAAUUUCCUCUUAAAUGUUGCCUACUUUCGGUUCUUUCUAGGGGUGUGCAGGACAGAGUAUUUCUGCUAUCCAGCCAGAUACAGGAUAUGCUGGAUGGCUGAAAAAUAUCCAGCCCGAUUAAGGGUAUUAUUCAAAUAAUUAUAUAAGGUUCAGGCAUCAUUUAAGGUUAAGUACUGGUAAUAAUUUUAUUUGGUUAAAAAGUAAACAGUCUAAAACUAGUAAACCUGCAUCAUUGGUAGCAAACAUGCAUCAUUGGUAGCAAAAGCCUCGUUUACAUCAGUUAAAAGUUCAAAUCCCCAUUUACUGUACAAACAAGCAUUGAAAAUACUGAUCAUAUUUAUCAUAUUUUUACUUCAAUGAUCAUGAUAUGAUAACCUUAUCAAAUCAUUUUCUAACCUGAAAAGAAGGCCUGAACCCUAUAUGAAUAAUAUCCGGCAUUGGGUAGCCGGAUACCAGAUAAUGAAUUAAAAUCUUAAUAUCCGGCCAGAUACAGUAUCAGUCCAUUGCAUCCUAUGUCUUGAAAUGCCAAACAAAUUAACUUGUUAAAUGACUGUAUAUUGAUAUUCAAUAUACUUAGCUAAUAUAUGCACCCUUUUAUUGUUAACCUUUGAGCAGCAAUGUGCCCAAGUGCACCCUACUUUGUUAUGUUGCACUUAACUAACACCAGACAUUUUACUUUGUGAAAUGCCAGACAAUUUUACUCCUCAAGAGCAGUGUCCUGCUCACUAAUGGUUAUCCAAACUAUCUGCCAAUGUGCCUUGAUAACCCAUUAGGCCGAAAUGCACCCAAAUGGACCCGCCUUUGUUAUUUUACUCUGUCAAAUGCCAGACAAUUUUAGUCAUCAAGAAGAGAGUCCUGCGUGCUAGUGGGUUAAAUGACUUAAUUACAUAUGUUAUAUAUAAACUUAAGCUGUUAGAUAGUCCCAUUGUAUAUUAAUUUUUUACUUAUCUUGACACAGGCUUGUAUGUUGGAUUGAUACGACUACCUGUAAAUAUGGUUAAACUUGGCAAUGUGAUUCAAAGGUUGUGGUUCACCGAGCGAUAAAGAAAAUGAUACAAAGAUGGAAUGAUUGGAUGCAAGUUAUUUACAGUGUUUCAUAUGACAGGUAUUCUGAUUGUGGAAGAUGUGGGCUUGCAAUAUUUUGACAAUUGCAUGGCUAUAAAGUACGAGACAAUUAAUAUAGUAGUCCAUUACUCUAAUUGCCAGAACACUGCAUCAGAAUGGGAAGUUGUCUGUUACAGUUCGGUUUAGUAAAAGUACAUAGUAAAAGUACAUAGUCAACUAUGUAAAAUGUAAUUUAGUCAGUGUCAAAUAAAUAUUUUGUCAUGGAUAAACUCAAAUGAGCAUGUCUCUAAUGUCAUUUUACUUUUAAUAAGAAUAUGUAGAUGUGUUUUCU
Paramuricea clavata is the source of this 4216-nucleotide non-coding RNA. NCBI's taxonomy places the organism in Eukaryota, Metazoa, Cnidaria, Anthozoa, Malacalcyonacea, Plexauridae. The record is from the annotation of a GenBank genome assembly.